CCUACGGGGGGCAGCAGUGGGGAAUAUUGGGCAAUGGGCGCAAGCCUGACCCAGCAACGCCGCGUGAAGGAAGAAGGCUUUCGGGUUGUAAACUUCUUUUCUCAGGGACGAAGCAAGUGACGGUACCUGAGGAAUAAGCCACGGCUAACUACGUGCCAGCAGCCGCGGUAAUACGUAGGUGGCAAGCGUUAUCCGGAUUUACUGGGUGUAAAGGGCGUGUAGGCGGGAAAGCAAGUCAGAUGUGAAAACCAUGGGCUCAACCUGUGGCCUGCAUUUGAAACUGUAUUUCUUGAGUGCUGGAGAGGCAAUCGGAAUUCCGUGUGUAGCGGUGAAAUGCGUAGAUAUACGGAGGAACACCAGUGGCGAAGGCGGAUUGCUGGACAGUAACUGACGCUGAGGCGCGAAAGCGUGGGGAGCAAACAGGAUUAGAUACCCCUGUAGUC
RNAcentral lists this ribosomal RNA (443 nucleotides) under uncultured bacterium. RNAcentral describes it as "partial 16S ribosomal RNA". It matches the Rfam family "Bacterial small subunit ribosomal RNA", at positions 338 to 795 of the family's 1533-position model. The record is from RNAcentral.